UGUUCGAACUAGAACAGUGUGCUGUGGUGAUCUGAAUUUACGAGACAAAUAUGAAUUAAAGGAGAUUUUUUCUGAGGUGGAAAAUAUUCUACAGAUUAUAUCUUCUGAGACUUCCAGCGAUAUGUGCGUCAACGAUAUAGAUGAUGAUCUUCUAAAUGUGGAGAGUUGUUUAACCGAAAUUAAUAGUCACAGGAAAAGUUGUUUAAAAGUGUUUGCCGAAAGUGCCGAACUGGUUCAUUGGGUGAGAAAGUUUACAAAAGAUGAAAAAGAGUUAAAGGUAUUUAUUGAUCUGGCCAUGAUAUCAGCUGGGGAAAGCGAUUUGGAAAUCGACCGUAUUUCUUGUAUGCAUACGAGCUGUUUGGGCUUUAGCUCCUUGAUAUUUGGCUAUAGUGAAGAGCAUGGUUUUCCUGAACUGAUGGAUCUUUGCAAACGUCUCUGGCAAGUGGUUGAUGCUAAUCCAACUAUUGACAAAAGCUAGAAACAACCCAAAGAAAUCUUUCUUGGUUGAAGCAGAUCAAGGAGUCACAUGGCUCAGUUGCUAUGACAACAAUGGUCCAAGUAGAAGCAAUCAAUUCAUGUGGUAUUUAUUACAUAGCUGACCUUGAAAAACUAAAUGUAACA
Molecule: long non-coding RNA, 621 nt
Organism: Xenia sp. Carnegie-2017
Lineage: Eukaryota; Metazoa; Cnidaria; Anthozoa; Malacalcyonacea; Xeniidae
Exons: 4
Source: RefSeq, a predicted model, not a curated record